GAUGAAGAACGCAGCGAAAUGCGAUACGUAAUGUGAAUUGCAGAAUUCAGUGAAUCAUCGAAUCUUUGAACGCACAUUGCGCCCGCCGGCAUUCCGGCGGGCACGCCUGUCCGAGCGUCAUUGCACCCGUCAAGCCUCGCUUGGUGUUGGGGGACGUCGCGCCUUCGCGGCGCGACCCCCCCCGGAACCCGUUGGCGGUGGCCCUUCGCCCCGAUCGUCGCGCUCGUUACGACGGCGCGGGGGGACCGCCCGCCCAACCGGCGGCUGGCAACAGCCGCCACGCAACACGCAAACGCUUGACCUCGGAUCAGGCGGGGAUACCCGCUGAACUUAAGCAUAUCAAUAAGCGGAGGA
This 354-nucleotide unclassified non-coding RNA is filed under the name soil metagenome. Its description in RNAcentral is "partial contains 5.8S ribosomal RNA, internal transcribed spacer 2, and large subunit ribosomal RNA". The stretch from base 1 to 120 matches the Rfam family "5.8S ribosomal RNA", at positions 35 to 154 of the family's 154-position model. The record is from RNAcentral.